RNAcentral lists this ribosomal RNA (496 nucleotides) under uncultured bacterium. Its description in RNAcentral is "partial 16S ribosomal RNA". It matches the Rfam family "Bacterial small subunit ribosomal RNA", at positions 28 to 506 of the family's 1533-position model. The record is from RNAcentral.
GAUGAACGCUGGCGGCGUGCCUAAUACAUGCAAGUCGAGCGAACGGACGAGAAGCUUGCUUUUCUGAUGUUAGCGGCGGACGGGUGAGUAACACGUGGAUAACCUACCUAUAAGACUGGGAUAACUUCGGGAAACCGGAGCUAAUACCGGAUAAUAUUUUGAACCGCAUGGUUCAAAAGUGAAAGACGGUCUUGCUGUCACUUAUAGAUGGAUCCGCGCUGCAUUAGCUAGUUGGUAAGGUAACGGCUUACCAAGGCAACGAUGCAUAGCCGACCUGAGAGGGUGAUCGGCCACACUGGAACUGAGACACGGUCCAGACGCCUACGGGAGGCAGCAGUAGGGAAUCUUCCGCAAUGGGCGAAAGCCUGACGGAGCAACGCCGCGUGAGUGAUGAAGGUCUUCGGAUCGUAAAACUCUGUUAUUAGGGAAGAACAUAUGUGUAAGUAACUGUGCACAUCUUGACGGUACCUAAUCAGAAAGCCACGGCUAACUACGU